GAAAUGCGAUAAGUAGUGUGAAUUGCAGAAUUCAGUGAAUCAUCGAAUCUUUGAACGCACAUUGCGCCCCUUGGUAUUCCAUGGGGCAUGCCUGUUCGAGCGUCAUUGACACCCUCAAGCUCUGCUUGGUGUUGGGCGUCUGUCCCCGCGGGGACUCGCCCCAAAGUCAUUGGCAGCCUCUGCCCGCUUCCCGCGCAGCACUGUCGCGCUUUUAGGGAGGACACAUGGGCAGACUGGCGUCCAGCAAGCGCCUUUUUUUUUCAACCAGUUUGACCUCGAAUCAGGUAGGGAUACCCGCUGAACUUAA
RNAcentral lists this unclassified non-coding RNA (307 nucleotides) under uncultured Pleosporales. RNAcentral's name for it is "sequence contains ITS1". The stretch from base 1 to 105 matches the Rfam family "5.8S ribosomal RNA", at positions 50 to 154 of the family's 154-position model. Lineage: Eukaryota; Fungi; Ascomycota; Dothideomycetes; Pleosporales. The record is from RNAcentral.